Molecule: ribosomal RNA, 1048 nt
Filed under: Salmonella enterica subsp. enterica serovar Infantis
Lineage: Bacteria; Pseudomonadati; Pseudomonadota; Gammaproteobacteria; Enterobacterales; Enterobacteriaceae
Also listed under: 1 other name
Description: partial 23S ribosomal RNA
Rfam family: Bacterial large subunit ribosomal RNA
Source: RNAcentral
AGACCCGAAACCCGGUGAUCUAGCCAUGGGCAGGUUGAAGGUUGGGUAACACUAACUGGAGGACCGAACCGACUAAUGUUGAAAAAUUAGCGGAUGACCUGUGGCUGGGGGUGAAAGGCCAAUCAAACCGGGAGAUAGCUGGUUCUCCCCGAAAGCUAUUUAGGUAGCGCCUCGUGAAUUCAUCUCCGGGGGUAGAGCACUGUUUCGGCUAGGGGGCCAUCCCGGCUUACCAACCCGAUGCAAACUGCGAAUACCGGAGAAUGUUAUCACGGGAGACACACGGCGGGUGCUAACGUCCGUCGUGAAGAGGGAAACAACCCAGACCGCCAGCUAAGGUCCCAAAGUCAUGGUUAAGUGGGAAACGAUGUGGGAAGGCCCAGACAGCCAGGAUGUUGGCUUAGAAGCAGCCAUCAUUUAAAGAAAGCGUAAUAGCUCACUGGUCGAGUCGGCCUGCGCGGAAGAUGUAACGGGGCUAAACCAUGCACCGAAGCUGCGGCAGCGACACUCAGGUGUUGUUGGGUAGGGGAGCGUUCUGUAAGCCUGCGAAGGUGGCCUGUGAGGGUUGCUGGAGGUAUCAGAAGUGCGAAUGCUGACAUAAGUAACGAUAAAGCGGGUGAAAAGCCCGCUCGCCGGAAGACCAAGGGUUCCUGUCCAACGUUAAUCGGGGCAGGGUGAGUCGACCCCUAAGGCGAGGCCGAAAGGCGUAGUCGAUGGGAAACGGGUUAAUAUUCCCGUACUUGGUGUUACUGCGAAGGGGGGACGGAGAAGGCUAUGUUGGCCGGGCGACGGUUGUCCCGGUUUAAGCGUGUAGGUGUGUGUUCCAGGUAAAUCCGGUUCACUUUAACACUGAGGCGUGAUGACGAGGCACUACGGUGCUGAAGCAACAAAUGCCCUGCUUCCAGGAAAAGCCUCUAAGCAUCAGGUAACAUCAAAUCGUACCCCAAACCGACACAGGUGGUCAGGUAGAGAAUACCAAGGCGCUUGAGAGAACUCGGGUGAAGGAACUAGGCAAAAUGGUGCCGUAACUUCGGGAGAAGGCACGCUGACA